RNAcentral lists this long non-coding RNA (467 nucleotides) under Piliocolobus tephrosceles (Ugandan red Colobus). RNAcentral describes it as "lncRNA (ENSPTEG00000023655.1)". Lineage: Eukaryota; Metazoa; Chordata; Mammalia; Primates; Cercopithecidae. The record is from RNAcentral.
AACUUUUAAAAAUUGUAUACACAAAGCAUAUAUACAUAUGGUAUUCAUGUGUGUAUGUAUACGCGUGUGUUUAUGCAUUUUUACGUUUACAUAAUACUAGUUUAAUUUUUUAAUCUCUUUCUAAUAAUAACAGAAACAUUCUGUAUUUAAUAAUGUAAAAACAAGUACACAAACUGUAUCUUAUUGUUUUUUUAGUGACAAUUGAUAAAAAUAGUAUAAAAAAUCCAGUUUUUAGUAUUUUUGAAAAACCUUCAAUUCCGUUUACUCCAGAUAAUAAAUACAACUCAAUUAGCUACGGACGAAUGGCAUAUUUUUUAGUAUUCGAUCUUACAAAUGAAGAAACAUUUGAAUAUGUUAAGACAAUUUAUUUAAACAUGUCAAAUAUUUAUGAUAAAUAUUAUUCUCUAAAGCCGUUUAUAUCUCUUGUUGGAAAUAAAUCAGAUUUGGUAAAGAAGAUUGUGAAUUAG